This 371-nucleotide ribosomal RNA is filed under the name uncultured organism. RNAcentral describes it as "partial 16S ribosomal RNA". It matches the Rfam family "Bacterial small subunit ribosomal RNA", at positions 527 to 896 of the family's 1533-position model. The record is from RNAcentral.
GUAGGCGGCAAGCGUUGUCCGGAAUUAUUGGGCGUAAAGCGCGCGCAGGCGGUUCUUUAAGUCUGAUGUGAAGGCCCACGGCUCAACCGUGGAGGGUCAUUGGAAACUGGAGAACUUGAGUACAGAAGAGGAAAGCGGAAUUCCACGUGUAGCGGUGAAAUGCGUAGAGAUGUGGAGGAACACCAGUGGCGAAGGCGGCUUUCUGGUCUGUAACUGACGCUGAGGCGCGAAAGCGUGGGGGAGCAAACAGGAUUAGAUACCCUGGUAGUCCACGCCGUAAACGAUGAGUGCUAAGUGUUAGGGGGUUUCCGCCCCUUAGUGCUGCAGCUAACGCAUUAAGCACUCCGCCUGGGAGUACGGCCGCAAGGCUG